GAAGCGAGCCCGAGCACACACAAGGCGCGCGCACCAGAGGCAUGCACACCGCGCUCCCUCCGGCUGCUCGCUCCAGCUCAGGCGGUGGAAGUAGCGGCAGCCCGGCUCUGCCUUUCCGCAGGGUGGGGAAGAAAGAGCGAGACGGACAGAGACCCAGCAAGCAGGCGAGCUUAGCAAUGGCCGGAGCCAGCAGGCAUUGACCACGGUCUUCCCCCCCCUUCCCCUUAGAGCUGCUGCUGGAGGAGGAGAGAGAGGAGGAGCAGCCUUAGCAUCUCUCUGGCUUUGUCGAAGGAGUCUGAGCUGCUGCCUCGCACAGGCAUGGUGCUAUUAUAGCGCGCAGCCUUGCCGCUCCGCUGCACUGAGCCAAUGGCAGGGAGCCACUAGCCGGGGAGCUGUCAGAGGAGUGCAUCUGUCACACGCCGCCUUCUCUCCUCCUCCUCCUCCUCCCCCCCACUCUCCUCCUCAGUUUCCCCCCUCCCCACCCUCACUCUUGGCUCAAGCCCUCCACAGAAGAGGGCAAUAACGGACAGAGGAGGAGGAGAAGCGAAGAGGGCGCCCCCGCUCCCCACAUCAGCUUCUUGCUGCCGUCGCCCAGAUACAAUGGACAAACAUUGAAUUCCAGUUGAGAAUGAACAAGGAGCUUGAGAGAUUCCCCUGGCUUCUCCUCUCUUUCUCACACCUCUAUGGAAGAAUGCUUUAUUUCCUCAAACCAUCAUUAUUGGCUUGCGGUAACCACAGGUGGGCUUUUUCACUGGUGGCAACAGUGUUGUAGAAUGCCCUCCCUGUUGAAAUGUGAUAGGCUCUAGCUGUAUGGAUAUUCCAGCAACUCCUGAAGACACAGCUGUCUAGGCAAGCAUUCCAUUGAACUUGAACUUCCUGACUGAAUUGCUUGCACUGCUCUUUUAACUGCUUUUAUUUUUAUUCUUUUUAAUCGCCUUGUUGUAUGGUAAAUUCUAAUUAUAUAUUUUUUAAAAGUUUGGAUGGAAUUGUUUCCAUCAUGUAUUUUAAUUAAGUAUGGCUUUUAUAAUUGAUUUUAUACUUGUAAACCACUUACAGAUUAUUUUGCCAUAUAUGUGGCAGAGGAAUUUGUUGAUAUCUGGGAGCUGAUUCAACUUAGACCUGCCUUUUAAUUCCCACAGUCAUUAUACCUCUCACUUUCUGCA
Podarcis muralis (Common wall lizard) is the source of this 1163-nucleotide long non-coding RNA. RefSeq lists it as uncharacterized. The record is from RefSeq and is a predicted model, not a curated record. Lineage: Eukaryota; Metazoa; Chordata; Lepidosauria; Squamata; Lacertidae.